Molecule: long non-coding RNA, 512 nt
Organism: Lathyrus oleraceus (garden pea)
Lineage: Eukaryota; Viridiplantae; Streptophyta; Magnoliopsida; Fabales; Fabaceae
Exons: 3
Source: RefSeq, a predicted model, not a curated record
CGAAAGUGUAAUUGGUGUUCAAAGGAGAAAGCUUUCAGAAGCGCUUUUGGAUGCUCAGAAGUGCUUUGUCUUGUUUGAUGCUAUCUUCCGGAAAGUGAAAAAUUAUUGAAGACUCAAGAGUGGUUUCGGUUCCGGCUCCGGUUUAACAGUCUGAUGGACGAUAGGUUCAAUUGUGUACUGGUUUAGAUUUGUUGCUGCAGGACGUUACAGGUUGUUGCUGUCAUGAAACUUACCAUGGAACCGAUUUUAUUAUGCAGGUCGUGGAUUCCGAGUCUUCAAAGCAAAGCAAAAUGGCUUGGCGCGUUGCGAACUCCAUACCAGCUGUUGUUGGAUUCGUACUGUGGUCUGCAAAGAGACAUAAUUAUGAUUGAAUUGCACUGUAACUUGUAUUGUUUGAAAUGUAUUCUAACAACCACGUAACACUUUGGUUCAAAACGGAAGGCUCUUUGCAGUAACCGGAGGUAGCAUCAUUGCCAUGCCAGCAGGGGUUGCUCCCGGAAAUUAUCUUUUAC